AUGCUCAAGGUGACCUAGGGUGUAACUGCUAACCCUGAUAUGAUCAUCCAUAUUAUAUUUUAAUUUUCAAAAUACAUCACAUGGAUUAUCCCAACCAAGAUUUUAUUAAAUUGAAACACACUGAUACAUUAACUCCUACUUAUUUAAAGGGGUCAAUUCCAUCUUGACUCACACACCGACUUCACAAGUACUUGACUAUGCCCAGAAACCUUUCAUUGCUGAAUUAAAAAUUCAGAUAGUCCAGCAUCAAAGCAUAAUGAGUUGCUUACAAGUCACUGUGG
This 281-nucleotide long non-coding RNA is filed under the name Elaeis guineensis (African oil palm). RNAcentral describes it as "long non-coding RNA (EGUI_LNC047130)". The record is from RNAcentral. Lineage: Eukaryota; Viridiplantae; Streptophyta; Magnoliopsida; Arecales; Arecaceae.